ACAGAAGAGCUCAUACCAGAAGAAUGUGAAUCCAGUAGAUAAUGCAGCUUUUACUAAACUGGGGGAGAGCCCUUUAAAAAACGCCCGAGGACCCUCCUCCCGGGCGAUCCGCACCACGCAGUCCGUGAAUCCCUGAAUUGGCUUCUUUGGACUGGACCAACAGGACGUCCUUCAGGAUGUUGUAGAAGAAGAACUGCAGGCCAGCGUAGGGGAAGAUGGCCACCAGAGUCGGUACCAGGCCGCGGUAGAAAGUCAGAACGCCCUCCUUGCGGUACAUGGUGACCGUCGCGUGGCGGAGACUGCGAUACACCUGCGUGGGACACACAGGGCAGAGGAAGCUCAGCUCGGUUCCACAUGGGGCGGGGCCUCCUCACCCGCGGCUCCCCCUGAGCGGCAAAGCGCGUCCGCAGAGUGUCCAGCGGCUGGCAGGCCACGGUGGCGCAGCAGGCUGACAGACCCCCGCACACGAAGUGCACCGCUGGCAUCUGGCUGUGGUAGGAGGUGCUCUUGUGCACCAGCUCCGUCAGGAGCUCGAAACUGGUAAACUGGAGAGGGGAGGGGGUGUUUCUAAAGUUCAUUGUUUCAUUUCAAACACAUUUAGCAACAUAAAUAUACAAGAUCAGUCAAAAGUCUAGACACACCUACCCAUAGAAAGGUACUUUUCUCUACAUUUUAGAAAAAUUAUAAGACAUUAAAACUAUUAACUAUAGAUGGAAUUAUACACUGACCAAAAAAGUAUGAAAAAAAAAAUAAAAAAUUUUGGGGAGGGCAGCUCUGUGGGUUGGGACUCGAAAGGUUGCUGGUUCAAAUCCCUGCGUCGGCAGAGUGAUUGAGGCCUUUAACCCAGAUGCCCCAGGGACUGGCUGCCCCUACUGUCCCCUCUACGCCAGUUUCAUGAGGAGGCCUCCUGAGAUGCUUUUCCAUUGGUCCUGAAGGAGGUCCCACAUAUAAGCUCAGCACCCAUUGGCCUCUGUUCCUUCACUCUCUGGUCAAACUCCUCCUAAACCAUUUCUACUGUGUUUAGGUCAGGUGGCCAGGUCCUGUGAUGCGGCAUGGUCAGGUGGCCAGACUUUUGACUGGUGCUGUACUUAAUAAAUGGUAUAACAUAAACAAUAAGUUUCUUUCCUGCUUUCUUUGUACCAUUCAUUAUAUAAUUCCAUUAGACGUCUUGCUAUUCGAUCCUUUCCCAGUUCAUCACUUAGGCCCUCGCAAAGCCUUUGGCAUGUGGAGGAACUCAAACUGGUCAUGUGGCCCAGAUUCACACUGUUAGGACAUCACCUGGACCCCUUAGCCCAGCCAUGGUGGUGGUUUGCACGAUAAACGGCGAUCGAACGUGCCUGGACAGCCCCGUAGCAGAUCGACAGCAGCUGGGCAGGGACAUGACCCUUCCAAAAGGCAGUGGCGCCCUCUUCUGACAGGAUGCGGCGUGACGCCUGCCGCAGGCCCCAGUACUUUCCCUGCUUGCUCUGGGAUGAGAGCUUCUCGAUCUGAAGCUGGGGAAACGGGAGGAGGAAUGUGCAUCACCACAACCGCACCCGACAGAGGCCCCCCCACCCCAAAAGCAUCCUGCACAGGGUUCUCCAUUAUGCUCAUGACAGUAAGACGACAGACAGCUAGGGCUGCAAAAUUUUGGGAAACACAAUUGCAGUUUAGCCUAACAGGGAACUUAAAUGUAGUUGAAAAGGAAAAAAAACAUCUCGAUGGCACUAAUAGUGAUAUGAUUGUGUAUCCAAGUGCUUGUGAAUAAUUAUGUGCAUAAAGCACCCAAAAUUAGCAUCGGCAUUAAAAUGCACUGCUCAUAUGUUAUAUUCUAUGUCGUAUUAUUCAUACAGUUUGCUUUCUUUGCCAUAUCUGGCAGCUUAUGCGGAGCCCAAAAUUCCCCAGCAUAACUUCCCAUGGAAAGUUUCUGGAAAUUUUACUUCCCUUUGCAACCCUACAGGCAUAUCUGUCUGUACAGCCAAUUGUUCAACAAAUAGACACAUGUGUCUCACCCCACUGCACCCAACACACCUGGAACCUAAUUUUGAUGACAUCCAGGGGGCUGAUCAUGGCUCGGGUCACCAUGCCGGACAGCGACCCCGCUAAGGCGGCCUUCUCUGGUGGCAGGACCUUGCGCUGAUCAUCCGGGUCAUAGCCCACCAUCGCUGCGUCGCCGCCCUAGUGGCGGCAGUUGUGUCUGUGUGACAGGAAACAGAAUCUCACGUCUCAUUCCACCAAUAUUGUACCCACAAAACCUCCAGCAUUGUGGAGGGCCCUUUUUCUUCUGCUCCCAUCUGGGUGCAUCACAGGAACAUCCAAACCAGUUCUGCCAAAUUCAGCAACAGUCCCCCCCCCACCCCAACCCGGAGGCUGUCAGGACACUUAACACUCAGCUACCUCCCUGACCACCUACCCAUCUCAUUGUCACUUGCUGUUUAUUCGUUGCACCGUAGUCCUGAGGGAACAUUUAUUUCAUUCACACUGAAUACGUGUAUAUAGAGGGUAUGAAAUUAAAGUCCACUCGAUUAGACUUCAAACCCUCUAACUAUUAAGUACACGGAUUUUCCUUUACCCCGCCGUUUAAUUGCUGUGAUUCAUCUGUGAUUAAUGUGCAGAUCCUCUGUUAAUUAAAACUUCGUCUGUAAAGUCUGCAGGUCGGCGACUUAUUUAUGCUCUGGCCAGCAGUGAUCCGGCUGCUUAUAUUUAAAGAUUCCUUUGCUACAGUUCUUUCCAUUGCAUCUGGCCAAUGCAGCUGUCAGGACAUCACUGUCUCGUCCAGCUAAAUACUAUGUGCAAAUACUAUACGAGUGUCUGUAAAUGAGUCUAUUACAAAUAAUGUAUUGUUCUGCAACUGCAAGUAAAAUGUUAAGAAACCUUCAA
Brienomyrus brachyistius is the source of this 2859-nucleotide long non-coding RNA. RefSeq lists it as uncharacterized. The transcript has 3 exons. Lineage: Eukaryota; Metazoa; Chordata; Actinopteri; Osteoglossiformes; Mormyridae. The record is from RefSeq and is a predicted model, not a curated record.